ACUAUAUCUGCGUCUGAAUCUUGGGUCCCAACGGAUGAAUGGUUAGAGAAUUUUAUUUUUGCCUUUGCCUAGCACGGAGG
This 80-nucleotide microRNA precursor is filed under the name Trichophyton rubrum BMU01672. The record is from RNAcentral. Lineage: Eukaryota; Fungi; Ascomycota; Eurotiomycetes; Onygenales; Arthrodermataceae.